This 406-nucleotide ribosomal RNA is filed under the name uncultured bacterium. RNAcentral describes it as "partial 16S ribosomal RNA". It matches the Rfam family "Bacterial small subunit ribosomal RNA", at positions 30 to 526 of the family's 1533-position model. The record is from RNAcentral.
AUUGAACGCUGGCGGCAGGCCUAACACAUGCAAGUCGAACGAGUGGCGGACGGGUGAGUAAUGUCUGGGAAACUGCCCGAUGGAGGGGGAUAACUACUGGAAACGGUAGCUAAUACCGCAUACCAUCGGAUGUGCCCAGAUGGGAUUAGCUAGUAGGUGGGGUAACGGCUCACCAAGGCGACGAUCCCUAGCUGGUCUGAGAGGAUGACCAGCCACCCUGGCACUGGACCACGGUCCAGACUCCUACGGGAGUCAGCAGUGGGGAAUGUUGCACAAUGGGCGCAAGCCUGCUGCAGCCAUGCCGCGUGUAUGAAGAUGGCCUUCGGGUUGUAAAGUACUUUCAGCGGGGAGGCGUUACUCGCAGAAGAAGCACCGGCUAACUCCGUGCCAGCAGCCGCGGUAAUUC